This 205-nucleotide ribosomal RNA is filed under the name uncultured bacterium. RNAcentral's name for it is "partial 16S ribosomal RNA". It matches the Rfam family "Bacterial small subunit ribosomal RNA", at positions 524 to 729 of the family's 1533-position model. The record is from RNAcentral.
UACGGAGGGUGCAAGCGUUAUCCGGAUUUACUGGGUUUAAAGGGUGUGUAGGCGGACUUUUAAGUCAGCGGUGAAAUCUCCGGGCUCAACCCGGAAACUGCCAUUGAUACUAUUAGUCUUGAAUAUUGUUGAGGUAGGCGGAACGGUCAUGUAGCGGUGAAAUGCAUAGAUAUGACCCGGAACACCAAUUGCGAAGGCAGCUCGU